AGUCUCGCGAUUUUUAUAAACAAACACGGAUAACCGAUCGAACGCUGUAUCUCCCCUCUGCCACAACGCAUCGGAAUCGUUUUGUUAGCAUCCUUUCCACAGUGACACAGUUGCACCCAGUGACGCGAGCGAUAAGAAGGCGUGCGCCCUCAGAUACACAGAGGUUCUCUUAUUGGUUUCACAACAUUGAUGUCGAAUCGUUGAUAUUGGUGGUGGUAGAC
Long non-coding RNA from Anopheles merus, 221 nucleotides. RefSeq lists it as uncharacterized. The transcript is spliced from 3 exons. The record is from RefSeq and is a predicted model, not a curated record. Lineage: Eukaryota; Metazoa; Arthropoda; Insecta; Diptera; Culicidae.